Molecule: ribosomal RNA, 253 nt
Filed under: uncultured bacterium
Lineage: Bacteria
Description: partial 16S ribosomal RNA
Rfam family: Bacterial small subunit ribosomal RNA
Source: RNAcentral
UACAGAGGGUGCAAACGUUGCUCGGAAUUAUUGGGCGUAAAGGGCUCGUAGGCGGUCUGUCGCGUCGGGAGUGAAAACUCAGGGCUUAACCCUGAGCCUGCUUCCGAUACGGGCAGACUAGAGGUAUGCAGGGGAGAACGGAAUUCCUGGUGUAGCGGUGGAAUGCGCAGAUAUCAGGAGGAACACCGGUGGCGAAGGCGGUUCUCUGGGCAUUACCUGACGCUGAGGAGCGAAAGUGUGGGGAGCGAACAGG